Molecule: ribosomal RNA, 427 nt
Filed under: uncultured bacterium
Lineage: Bacteria
Description: partial 16S ribosomal RNA
Rfam family: Bacterial small subunit ribosomal RNA
Source: RNAcentral
UGGGGAAUAUUGGACAAUGGGCGAAAGCCUGAUCCAGCCAUGCCGCGUGUGUGAAGAAGGUCUUCGGUUUGUAAAGCACUUUAAGUUGGGAGGAAGGGCAUUAACCUAAUACGUUAGUGUUUUGACGUUACCGACAGAAUAAGCACCGGCUAACUCUGUGCCAGCAGCCGCGGUAAUACAGAGGGUGCAAGCGUUAAUCGGAAUUACUGGGCGUAAAGCGCGCGUAGGUGGUUUGUUAAGUUGGAUGUGAAAUCCCCGGGCUCAACCUGAGAACUGCAUUCAAAACUGACUGACUAGAGUAUGGUAGAGGGUGGUGGAAUUUCCUGUGUAGCGGUGAAAUGCGUAGAUAUAGGAAGGAACACCAGUGGCGAAGGCGACCACCUGGACUAAUACUGACACUGAGGUGCGAAAGCGUGGGGAGCAAACA